This 612-nucleotide unclassified non-coding RNA is filed under the name Hevea brasiliensis (rubber tree). Lineage: Eukaryota; Viridiplantae; Streptophyta; Magnoliopsida; Malpighiales; Euphorbiaceae. The record is from RNAcentral.
UUUUGCUUCAUUGGGGUCGCCUGCACAGCCAUUAGAAGUACUUCCAUAAACUGGAUUAGUGCCUAUUGCUUCUGCAUAUGAUUCUGAAGCAAAAAUCAAAUCAUCUUCUUAGGAGAAAAGUUAAUACUAAUUGAUCGGGAUUUUGUGCCACCAAGACUUAGUUCAUGGCCAAAAAUUUUUGGGCAUGCUCUUGCCUGAACAGCAUUUGAUGCCCCAAAUAUAGUUUUUUUUCCACAAGAUUGUGCUCUUCAGGAAUUGACUUGAUUGAACCAAGCUCCACAACUCCAGACUUGACAGGUAAAAACACUACUGUUUGGAGUCCAGCUGACCUUGCUAAAACUGAUCUCAAUUGAUACUGCUCUAAACAACUAAUCAUAUCUGAAGCCCAAAUUGAUCUACCAGACUUAUAUGACUCUGCAGGAGCAUAUGAUGAAUCACAGAGGAAAGUAAAAUACAUAGAAAUGAGGUAAAACAUUUCCAAAUCCGAAACCCUAUCCAAAUUUGCUGCAUAAUUAUCCCCAUCUAACACAUUAAAGCAAGCAUGCAGCUUUUGAAGCACAAUCUUCUUCACUUCCUCUCUUUUCUCAACUGCCUCAAAUUUGCUAUCCCCAA